AGCGAACGUUUGCGGCGGGCCUAACACAUGCAAGUCGAACGGGCUAGCAAUAGUCAGUGGCGCACGGGUGCGUAACACGUGGGUAAUCAACCCUUCAGCUCGGGAUAACGCCUUGAAAGGGGCGCUAAUACCGGAUACGACGCGAGGAGCUUCGGCUGCUCGCGGGAAAGAUUCGCAAGGAUCUCUGAAGGACGAGCCUGCGGCCCAUCAGCUAGUUGGUGAGGUAAGAGCUCACCAAGGCGAAGACGGGUAGCUGGUCUGAGAGGAUGAUCAGCCACACUGGAACUGAGACACGGUCCAGACUCCUACGGGAGGCAGCAGUGGGGAAUAUUGCGCAAUGGGCGAAAGCCUGACGCAGCCACGCCGCGUGAGCGAUGAAGGCCUCGGUCGUAAGACUCUGUGGGAGGAGAAGAA
Molecule: ribosomal RNA, 414 nt
Filed under: uncultured bacterium
Lineage: Bacteria
Description: bacterial SSU rRNA
Rfam family: Bacterial small subunit ribosomal RNA
Source: RNAcentral